UACUAAGCGGAGGAAAAGAAACUAACAAGGAUUUCCUUAGUAGCGGCGAGCGAACAGGAAAGAGCCCAGCACUGAAUCCCGCGGUUCUGCCGCUGGGAAAUGUAGUGUUCGGGAGGGUCCAAUUAUCCCCCGGCGUCGGACCGCGUCCAAGUCCAUCUUGAAUGGGGCCACUUACCCGUAGAGGGUGCCAGGCCCGUAGCGACCGGGACGCGCCGAGGGAGAACCUCUCCUUA
Molecule: ribosomal RNA, 233 nt
Filed under: Glyphomerus stigma
Lineage: Eukaryota; Metazoa; Arthropoda; Insecta; Hymenoptera; Torymidae
Description: partial 28S rRNA
Rfam family: Eukaryotic large subunit ribosomal RNA
Source: RNAcentral